GGGGGCUGUGACAUUGUCAGAUACCUUGGUGCUGCUUCUCUUUGCCUCGCUCAGCAGCGUGCAGUGUGUGCCAACCUCUCAUUCCCUGCACGCCAUCAAGCCUUAGUUUAUCGCCUUUGCUCUAGCGGACUUAUUCAGAAAAGCAGAUCCCAAAUGGACUGGAAACCUAAAUUUAAAGCAUAAAAUAAUGAAAAUAACAGAAGAAAAUAUAGAAAGGUUUUUGUAUAAUCUCAAUCUGGCUAGACCUGAAAGACGCAGCAAGACAAGAAACAGCCAUAAAAGAAAAGCCUGAAAAGUAUAAAGACUAUAGAAGACACACAAAAAAGUUAAUGUCUUUUUUUUUUUUUUUGUCUUUUUCAUUUUUAUCGGUACCAGGGAUCGAGCUCAUGACUGCCUGCUUGCAAGGCAGGUGCUUAUGCCACUGAACUAAAUCCCCAGCCCCCAAAAGUUAAUGUCUUUAAAAUAUGAAAAAUGUGAGUUCUGGGAGAACAUGGCGGAUAGAUAGCAGCAGCUUUGGAGGCUCUCUGAGAUACCCCACUUAAAAUCCAGGAAUGGUGCCGGGUGAGAAGUCCUAAGCAAGGAGAGAUGUACUUUGCCAACCCAGGAACGAACUAAGUUAAGAGAAACGAACUGGAAACGUAAUCCCGGUGAUAUAACAGGAACAGAUAAGGUCUCAGCGAGUAAGCCAGACCCCGCACUACUGGAAGCCGCCAUUUGAAUUUCCUGCAGCCGCUGCUGCAUCCCAAUCAGCAUGGCAAGGAGAGAGGCGCAAAAGCUCUGAGAGUGGGAAGUGGUGAAUGGAGUUGAGAGCGGGACUGGCCGGGAGCCCUGCAUUAACCUGUGGUGAGUGAACAGAUCGGGGACCCUUCCAUAGAGUAGGAGGCUUCAGAAAAGGACAUAAUGGGACCAGGCAGACUAGCUGGCACAGGGCACUACAGUGACUUCAGUCACAUAUUCCCCUCUCAAGCGGGAUUGGUGGGGAGUGCCUGGCUUGGGUGACGCCGCUGACUAAGGCCAAGUAAGCUAGCCCAAACCAUGUCCCACUGCCUGGAGGUGCACCCUAGCGUGAAGCCUUCGGUACGUUGACCUGGAGGGGUGGGCCCAGCAUAGGCUACCCAGGUCUGUGUUUCCAUAGUACACUGCAGUGGGCAGGAACACCUAGCCGGCGCAAUUCAACAAACUGUAACCGACAAAGAAAGAAACUGGGCCUCCUAUAUAUGCUUGUAUAAAAGGAACAAAAAAUAUGGGAAGAGGGAGCAACAAGAAAGGGUCCUCGGCCCAAUCCUGAGAAACACGCAAUAUCAGACACGGCACCAAUAGACAUAAAGCGCUAUCUCCAGAGCCUCAUAGACGAGUUCAGGAAUGAAGUUAUUAAUGACCUGAAGCAAGAUAUAAGUAGAAUAGUUAGAGAAAUGCUAAGCACCACCCAAGAAAAAACAGAUGGUGAAAUGGAAGAACAGAAAAAAAGGGAACAAUUGUUUGAUGGAGAAAAUAGAGAAAACAUAGAAUAUGUGAAGCAGGUUCAAAGAGAUUACCAGGAAACUAAAAACUCUAUCAAAAACUGGCAUAACAGCUUGAAAGAAAUUAAGGAUAGAUUAUCUGAGUUGGAGGGCAGAUUUGUAAUAUGGAAGCAUGAAAUGAAAAACUUCUUAAAAAUAACAAAAAAACAAACAGCAAUAAUACAAAGGCUAGAAGAUGAUAAGAAGACCCAUAACUUAAGAAUUAAGAACAUAAAAGAAGAAGUAGGGACACAAACAAAUGGACUACAAAAGCUAUUCACAGAAAUAAUCCAAGAGAAUUUCCCUAAUUUAGCAAAUGGUAAAGAUACUCAGAGGUAUGAGGCAUAUAGGACCCCAGCCACCUACAACCCAAACAGAGCUACACCCAGGCAUACAAUAAUCAAAAUUCCAGAAAUCCAAUAUAAGAACAGAAUACUACAAGCCAUCAGAGACAAGAAACAGAUCACUUACAAGGGAACACCCAUCAGAAUUACAGCAGACUUCUCGGCACAAACCAUCAAAUCAUGAAGAGUGUGGGAGGAAAUAAUUCAAGCUUUGAAAGAUAAUAACUUCCAGCCAAGAUUGGUAUAUCCUGAACAACAGUCCCUAAAAAUUGAUGGAAAAACAAGGUGCUUCCAGGAUAAAGAGGAACUAGAGGAAUUUGCAACCAGCAAUUCAACUCUACAGAGAAUACUGCAGGAUAUUCUAAAAAGGAAAAUACCAAGAUUCCAGAAAUAGUGGCAGAGAGGCCACAAUGAAUGGAGCAGAAAGCGAAAUGAAGACAAACUGACAAUAAACAACAGAAAAAGAGCUCAACAGAAAUGAGGCAGAGAAGGUUAGAUGGUAGGAACAGCUAUUUUGGAGAAAACAAGACAUCAUAAUAGCUAGUGCUGAUUUAGUAUCAUCUUGUUUUGAAGUCCCAUCAAACUUGUAUUCUUGGGCUGGGGAUUUAGCUCAGCAGCAUAAGUGCCUGCCUUGCAAGCAGGCAGUCGUGAAUUCGAUCCCUGGUACUGAUAAAAAUGAAAAAGACCAAAAAAAAAUUAGUAAAAAAAAAACUUGUAUUCUUCUGCCUCCAUCGGUCUUAAAAGGUUGUAUCUUACUGGAGUUUACUAUAUAUGAUAAUAUAAGCAAAAACUUUUAUAGACAAGGAGAUUAUACAGAAACUAUUGUUCAUUUUCUGUUAAUUGGUUCUAAAUACCCUGUAAUAAUGUCAUUCUCUUGAAUGGUUUUUAGUGUCUUGAUAUGUUUGGUGCUAUAGUAUACGAAGUUAUACUCAAAGAUUUCAAGGAAAGAGACACUGUGGUAACUAUUUUUAUGUCAGGCUAUCUUGUGGUGAAACACUAUUUUGCUUAAAUGGUUAUGUUUUGACCUGCGCUGUUCUGUUGUUAUGCCCUCUUUUAUCUAAUCCCCCCUUUUUAAAAAAUUAUUUACUUUUUUAUUUUAUCUUUUUAAUUAAGGGAAAAUAAAAAAUAGCAGGAUAUAUUAUAGUAACCUACUUUGAUUUCCUAUUAACUUGAUUUGAAAUCCUGUAUUGCCCUCACCAUUUUAUUUUGACUGAUUUUCCCCUAUCCUGCUUUGCUUGAUAGUACCAAGUUUGAAAGUAUAGGCAACAACUGUGAAGACAAUAAAAUUCAAUAUGACGCCCA
This is a long non-coding RNA of Cavia porcellus (domestic guinea pig), 3145 nucleotides long. RefSeq lists it as uncharacterized. The record is from RefSeq and is a predicted model, not a curated record. NCBI's taxonomy places the organism in Eukaryota, Metazoa, Chordata, Mammalia, Rodentia, Caviidae. The transcript has 2 exons.